AUGUUCGGGUCCUCAGACUCCGCCCUUGUGUCAGCUUUCAAUCUUUGUUUCUGUGUAAUUGGAAUAAAGACGCAACGCCUCCGCUUCAGGACCAUAAAGCUCGGCUUCAGGUGGACUCGUCAUGAGCAGCGGGUUCAGACCUGCGUCCGUGAAGAGAUGGAGGCGCAGGUCCGAGCUCUGCUCCUGCUUCUAGUUUUAACCCCAUCUACUGCUGAGGAGAAGAACCUGACAGGAACUGUGGGAGGAAGCAUCACUCUGCCUGAACCUGUGCUGGAGCUGGGGUUCAUUAUAUAUGGAACAAAGACUGUAGCCAUUGUGGUUGAUGGGAAAAUGAAGAUAGUAGAGAAAAUGUAUCAGAACAAGCUUCUGUGGAGCGACAGAACUGGAUGCUUCACAAUAACAGACCUGCAGAAAAACGACUCAGGGAUUUAUGCUGUUGACCGUAAAGAAAGUGGUGUCAGCACAGCUUAUAAACUCAGCGUGUUUGACUCCGUCUCGGCUCCGACAGUGAACAGACUUGGCUCCGACAGCUGCGUCCUGCUGUGUGAGGUGGUCAACGCUGAGGAGACCACUCUGCUGUGGUACAAAGAUGACGAGGUGGUGAAGCAGAACAGCUCGGCUCCGUCUCUGUCGCUCACUGUACACGAGCAGGACUACAGAUCCUCCUACAGAUGUGUGGCUGCCAACCCCGCUGAACACAAGGCUGAACCAGUCAACCUGGAAGAGACCUGUGGACCCACCUACACAGGAAGGAACCAGGAGAAGCCGGAGGAUCGGAGUCGAGUCAUUGGCAUUGUUGUCUCCAUUGUGUCUGUGGUCGUCAUUGCGAUUGUUGGUAUCAUGAUUAAGAAGCGUUACCACAACCAGAAACCCACAGCAGCACAAGGUCCAGACAACGUGGAAACAGAGGUCCAGUACACUGAUGUACAUUUCUAUGACGACACACGCGGUCAGGUUAGUCCUCACAUCCACACACUAAUGUUUGACAGGACUGAUGAUUGUAUUGCUAAGCAACGUGUUAUCAGUGUGGUUUGGUCCGUGGUUCUGUCUCCUGUCGUGUCUGGACUCUGA
This 1071-nucleotide long non-coding RNA is filed under the name Betta splendens (Siamese fighting fish). RNAcentral's name for it is "lncRNA (ENSBSLG00000015829.1)". Lineage: Eukaryota; Metazoa; Chordata; Actinopteri; Anabantiformes; Osphronemidae. The record is from RNAcentral.